Molecule: long non-coding RNA, 665 nt
Organism: Syngnathus typhle (broad-nosed pipefish)
Lineage: Eukaryota; Metazoa; Chordata; Actinopteri; Syngnathiformes; Syngnathidae
Exons: 2
Source: RefSeq, a predicted model, not a curated record
CUUGCACAGCAGGCUGCGGUGGUGUGACAAAUCAAAUUUCAUUUCGACCACACAGAUUCCUUUUUUUAUCUGAAACUAUUCUGUGAUCACUCGAUGGGGGAGGCUUCUUCAGAUGAUGAAUCCAAUCACAAAGCAUGAACCCCGCAAAACCCAAGCAACAUAGGACCUAACCGGAGCAGCAAGUGUCCUGAGUGCUGUGCUAGCCUGCACACAUGUGCAUGGUAUGGAAAAGCCACCUCCAGUCACCAACCUUCCCACCAGGAUGAACCAGGGGGAGCGGUCAUAGAAGGGGUCCUGGCCGUCGCUGAAGAUAUCCGACCCCUCCUCCGUGCCGGCGUCUGAGCUGGUGUCGUCGACAAACGCCUCGUCGUCGAUCAAGUCGGACAUCUCGCUCUGGCGCUCAUCCGCCAACUCAGUGAUUUCAGAGUCGGUGGUGGAGAAGGUGGGCGAGGGCGUGCGUUCGGUCAGAUGCUCAUUUACGCAACCGUGGAAGAUGGGGGAGCUGAGAGAUGAGUUGUACGGGAUCAUUGGCAUCAAGAAUAACCCAGUAACAAUGAAAGAAACUUUGACAGCCAAAUGUUAUGGCCAAGAGCUGAUUCAUAAAGGCCAUUUAAAUUUCCCACAAAAUGAAAUAUAAAUAAACAUGAAUACCAUACACAAAACUG